RNAcentral lists this small nuclear RNA (22 nucleotides) under Arabidopsis thaliana (thale cress). RNAcentral describes it as "snRNA_07484". Lineage: Eukaryota; Viridiplantae; Streptophyta; Magnoliopsida; Brassicales; Brassicaceae. The record is from RNAcentral.
UUGUCUGAAAAGUGUGUUAGUU